CUAUAGUAAGGGAUUUUAACAGGGACAAGCUGAUAGCAAGAGAUCCUACAAACCAACAUUCCACACAGAACUCUCAGGAGCUGGGGAACUAAACACACAGGCAGUUUCUGAGGGCAGUUGGUGAACUCCUCUGGAAGAGAGAGAGAGGCUGCUGCUUUUUUCUCUAGUAUCCAGAAGAGCCAAGAAAGUUUCUGUCUGGUAUUUCUGGGGUGGACCCAGAGAGCCAAUGAUUCCCUCUUCUUUGGCUUUCUUGAUAUUCUGCCUGUCCUCGCUGCUAUUGGUGCUGCUGCUGUCAAGUGGAAGAGCCAUUACUGGGACUACUGCUUGACUCAAAGAAGACUCCUGGUUGUAGAUAUCUACUCCAGGAAGCUGGAGAGGUCUGGAGCAGGAGGACAGUCAGCCUUCACAAUCAACCCCAGUGACCAGCUUCACCUUCUCAGGCCAAGUUGCUGAUGAAGCCAUGAUUCUCCCCACUGACACAGGUCUGAGUAAAAUUACAAAACCAGCCCUCCAAAGCAAGACUGUCUUGUUGUGAAUCUUCAGAAUGCCGAAGAUCAAUGGUCCUACCACUUCUCUGAAUUCCUGGAACACACAACUCAGCAGAACCACACAGUGCCUUUUCAUACUCUCAUAUUGUUUGACAUGUUUGUUUUAUCUUCUCAGCUAAAUUAUAAACCAUAGGAGGGCAGGAAUCUAGUUUUCAUCUUCAUUUUUUCCAUAACCCAAGAUUAUAAAUAAGUCGAUAAAGUUGAGAGCUGAAAGAACCUGAG
This 770-nucleotide long non-coding RNA is filed under the name Monodelphis domestica (gray short-tailed opossum). RNAcentral's name for it is "lncRNA (ENSMODG00000037441.1)". The record is from RNAcentral. Lineage: Eukaryota; Metazoa; Chordata; Mammalia; Didelphimorphia; Didelphidae.